GAUAGCUGGGUAUAUAAAGACAUACAGUUCCGCAUAUAGAUAUUCAGUUCAUUUACAGAUUGAAUUAAUAAAUAACCAACGAUGGAUACAAGAUUAAUUCUCUUAUUGGUUGUUAUAGGGUUAAAUGUUUCUGAUGCAACAUGGGCCAGGAUGUCAAGCAGAAAUAGAUAUUAUCGUCCACUGUCAGACAGCAGACCAACAUCGCUAAACAGUAGACCGACAUCGUCAAACAGUAGACCUAAUUUAAUACAUGGUACAUCACUUGUGUCACAUCGUAGACCUGCUUCAUCACAUACACCUACUUUAUCACAUCGUAGACCAAUUUCGUCACAUCGUAGACGAAUCUUCAUUACCAGGAAGCGGGUUUAUGUGAAUAAAAUAUGUAAGUCUAAGAGAGUACAGAAAUGUGUUACUGCCAACGCCGAGUUUAUACCAUUAGUUUACGGUCGCGGUAAAUAUACAUUUGUUAGACCUGCUAACAAAAACAUUCCUUCCCGACAUUUUUUAAAUAAACUGAAGAAAUUGUGUAUUCGAUGUCCUUACCUCUGCUAUUCAGUCAUGGUAAACAAGACUACUACACAAACAACGCUGCCUACUACGACAACAGCCCCAACAACGACAACAUUGCGUACUACGUCAACAGAACCAACCACAACAACAUUGCGUACUACAACAACAGAACCAACAACAACACUGCGUACUACGUCAACAGAACCAACCACAACAACAUUGCGUACUACAACAACAGAACCAACAACAACACUGCGUACUACGUCAACAGAACCAACAACGACAACACUGCGUACUACGUCAACAGAACCAACGACAACACUGCGUACAACGCCAACUACAACAGAGCCAUUCAUGCCAAUAGUUCCAGACGCUCAGUGAUGUCAUUUGUAAUUUUGUUUAGGCUAUAUAUAGCCUGUAUGUUUGUUUGUUUUAUUCAUAAAUAAUUUUUGUUGCCAUUUUUAGAACCCGUUACGUUGACAUGGUAACCCUACGAUAACAACAUGAACAAUUUAUAAUAAAAACAUCAUUUCUUAUACAAUGUAGUGAUAAAUAAACCCACUGGGUCAUAAUCCUG
Molecule: long non-coding RNA, 1087 nt
Organism: Patella vulgata (common limpet)
Lineage: Eukaryota; Metazoa; Mollusca; Gastropoda; Patellidae
Exons: 2
Source: RefSeq, a predicted model, not a curated record